GGGGUCGUAGCUCAGUUGGCAGAGCGUCUCGUUCGCAAUGAGAAGGUCGCAGGUUCGAUUCCUGUCGGCUCCACCA
RNAcentral lists this transfer RNA (76 nucleotides) under Verrucomicrobiota bacterium. Its description in RNAcentral is "tRNA-Ala". It matches the Rfam family "tRNA". From Rfam's summary of the family: Transfer RNA (tRNA) molecules are approximately 80 nucleotides in length. RNAcentral also lists the same sequence under 3 other names. Lineage: Bacteria; Pseudomonadati; Verrucomicrobiota. The record is from RNAcentral.